CUACGGGCUGCAGCAGGUAGGAAAAUUCUACAAUGCGCGCAAGCGUGAUAGAGCAAGCCAGAGUGCGUUUCUAUAAUUGAAACGCUUUUGUACGAUGUAAAAAGUCGUACGAAUAAGGACUGGGAAAGACUGGUGCCAGCCGCCGCGGUAAUACCAGCAGUCCAAGUCGCAGCCAUUUUUAUUGGGUCUAAAACAUCCGUAGCUCGCUUAGUAAGUUUCAUGUAAAAUCUGAUAUCUUAAGUAUUGGGCUGCAUGAAAUACUGCAAAGCUAGAGACCGGGAGACGUAAAGAGUACAGUUUGGGUAGCGGUAAAAUGCGUUGAUCCUUACUGGACUAACAAUAGCGAAGGCACUUUACGAGAACGGUUCUGACAGUGAGGGAUGAAGGCUAGGGUCGCAAAACGGAUUAGAUACCCCCGUAGUC
RNAcentral lists this ribosomal RNA (423 nucleotides) under uncultured archaeon. RNAcentral describes it as "partial 16S ribosomal RNA". It matches the Rfam family "Archaeal small subunit ribosomal RNA", at positions 323 to 746 of the family's 1478-position model. The record is from RNAcentral.